RNAcentral lists this ribosomal RNA (253 nucleotides) under uncultured bacterium. Its description in RNAcentral is "partial 16S ribosomal RNA". It matches the Rfam family "Bacterial small subunit ribosomal RNA", at positions 524 to 776 of the family's 1533-position model. The record is from RNAcentral.
UACGUAGGGGGCGAGCGUUGUCCGGAUUUAUUGGGCGUAAAGAGCGUGUAGGCGGCUAGGUAGGUCCGUUGUGAAAACUCGAGGCUCAACCUCGAGCUGUCGAUGGAAACCAUCUAGCUAGAGUCCGGAAGAGGAGAGUGGAAUUCCUGGUGUAGCGGUGAAAUGCGCAGAUAUCAGGAAGAACACCCGUGGCGAAGGCGGCUCUCUGGUACGUGACUGACGCUGAGACGCGAAAGCGUGGGGAGCGAACAGG